CCUACGGGAGGCUGCGGUGGGGAAUAUUGGACAAUGGGGGGAACCCUGAUCCAGCCAUGCCGCGUGUGUGAAGAAGGCCCUCGGGUUGUAAAGCACUUUCAGUGAGGAAGAACGCCUGGUGGUUAAUACCCAUCAGGAAAGACAUCACUCACAGAAGAAGCACCGGCUAACUCCGUGCCAGCAGCCGCGGUAAUACGGAGGGUGCGAGCGUUAAUCGGAAUUACUGGGCGUAAAGCGCGCGUAGGUGGCUUGAUAAGCCGGUUGUGAAAGCCCCGGGCUCAACCUGGGAACGGCAUCCGGAACUGUCAAGCUAGAGUGCAGGAGAGGAAGGUAGAAUUCCCGGUGUAGCGGUGAAAUGCGUAGAGAUCGGGAGGAAUACCAGUGGCGAAGGCGGCCUUCUGGACUGACACUGACACUGAGGUGCGAAAGCGUGGGUAGCAAACAGGAUUAGAUACCCGGGUAGUC
RNAcentral lists this ribosomal RNA (465 nucleotides) under Vreelandella stevensii. RNAcentral describes it as "partial 16S ribosomal RNA". It matches the Rfam family "Bacterial small subunit ribosomal RNA", at positions 338 to 795 of the family's 1533-position model. The record is from RNAcentral. Lineage: Bacteria; Pseudomonadati; Pseudomonadota; Gammaproteobacteria; Oceanospirillales; Halomonadaceae.